This is a long non-coding RNA of Homo sapiens (human), 936 nucleotides long. RefSeq lists it as uncharacterized. The transcript is spliced from 2 exons. The record is from RefSeq and is a predicted model, not a curated record. NCBI's taxonomy places the organism in Eukaryota, Metazoa, Chordata, Mammalia, Primates, Hominidae.
AGCCUUACCGGUCCCAGGGUGCGGGAAGGUGGGAUGGGUGCGCUAAGCCAGUUCCAAGGAGUCCGCCCCGAGCGCCAACUCUUCCGGCCGCGGCGAUCGUUCUGCGGGGACGACAGGGCGUCAGCGCGCAGAGCCGGGCUCCGGCCGGGGCCGACGGGCGGCGCAGUGAAGGCGGGGCCGCGGGGCCAAGCCCACCCCGCGCCGACCGGCCCCGGUGCGCCCAGCGGAGCGGAGCGGAGCGCGCGGAGGGAGGAGUUUUCCCAGAAUGGGACUGACGGGAAAACACGGGGAUCCCUAUUCCUGGAGGAAUCCAGCCUGGUGCCUGGGAUAGGGAAGUGCAUGAUAAAUGCUGCAUAAAUGAAAAACAAUUGCUACCGUGGAAGAUAUUGAAAGGAAAGUGCUAUCGAUGCCAAAGUUGUUUCCAAGAGAGGUAUUCCAAAAGUGUUUCAAGCAAUGACUGAGCUAAGCAUCCAGUCCUGCAAGGUGAAGGCGUUGAAGACGCAGCCCUCAUUUGAAUAGAUGAAUUGUGGUAUUCUUGUUAAAUAAUGAAUCAUAUCAAGGCUUGGUCACACCUCAUGCACAUGAAAAGACCAAAACGCAAGGCAGCAUAUCAGCGCCACGUGAAGUACACACUAAGCACCAACUAUUUAAUUCAGCAAUCAUGGGGGGCCCGGUGGCUCACGCCUGUCAUCUUAGCAAUUUGGGAGGCCGAGGCAGGUGGAUCGCUUGAGCCCAGGAGUUCGAGAUCAGCCUGGGCAUCAUGGUGGCCUGCACCUGUAGUCCCAGCUACUCAGGAGGCUGAGGUGGGAGGAUAGUUUGACCCCAGAAAGUUGAGGCUGCAGUGAGCCGUGAAUGCACCACUACACACCAGCCUGGAUGACAGAGCGAAACCCUGUCUCAAAGUAAUUAAUAAUAAUUAUAUUAAUUCAGCAAUCA